Molecule: ribosomal RNA, 431 nt
Filed under: uncultured bacterium
Lineage: Bacteria
Description: partial 16S ribosomal RNA
Rfam family: Bacterial small subunit ribosomal RNA
Source: RNAcentral
AACGAACGCUGGCGGCAGGCUUAACACAUGCAAGUCGAGCGCCCCGCGAGGGGUGCGGCCGCCGGGUGAGUAACGCGUGGGAACGUACCUUUUGGUUCGGAACAACUCCGGGAAACUGGAGCUAAUACCGGAUAAGCCCUAACGGGGAAAGAUUUAUCGCCGAAAGAUCGGCCCGCGUCUGAUUAGCUAGUUGGUGAGUUAACGGCUCACCAAGGCGACGAUCAGUAGCUGGUCUGAGAGGAUGAUCAGCCACACUGGGACUGAGACACGGCCCAGACUCCUACGGGAGGCAGGAGGGGGGAAUACUGGACAAGGCGCGCAAGCCUGAUCCAGCCAUGCCGCGUGAGUGAUGAAGGCAUUAGGGGUGUAAAGCUCUUUUGUCCGGGAAGAUAAUGACUGUACCGGAAGAAUAAGCCCCGGCUAACUUCGUG